RNAcentral lists this ribosomal RNA (470 nucleotides) under uncultured bacterium. Its description in RNAcentral is "bacterial SSU rRNA". It matches the Rfam family "Bacterial small subunit ribosomal RNA", at positions 28 to 516 of the family's 1533-position model. The record is from RNAcentral.
GACGAACGCUGGCGGCGUGCCUAACACAUGCAAGUCAAGGCGGUAGCAAUACCGACUGGCGCACGGGUGCGGAACACGUAGGCAAUCUGCCCAUCAGGGGAGAACAACUCACCGAAAGGUGAGCUAAAUCUCCGUAAUGUUUUAUCAUGGCAUCAUGAUUUAACCAAGCUUUCUGAUGGAUGAGCCUGCGUCUGAUUAGCUAGUUGGUAGUGUAACGGACUACCAAGGCUACGAUCAGUAGCUGGUCUGAGAGGAUGAUCAGCCACAUUGGGACUGAGACACGGCCCAGACUCCUACGGGAGGCAGCAGUGAGGAAUAUUGCUCAAUGGACGAAAGUCUGAAGCAGCAACGCCGCGUGAGGGAUGAAGGUGCUCUGCAUUGUAAACCUCUGUAGUCGGGGACAAAAAACAGGUUAUUACCUGUCUGAUGGUACCCGAAAGUAAGGAUCGGCUAACUACGUGCCAGCCGCC